GAAUAACAGAGCGAGAACUCACUCAUUAAUCCCACCACCCAAGGAGAGCAUUAAUCCAUUCAUGAGGGAUCCACCUCCAUGACUCAAACAGCUCCCAGCACUGCCACACUGGGGAUCACAUUUCCAUGAGCUUUGGAGGGGACAACACAUCGAAAGUCUGUCAGCCAUUGCCCUUGCAUGGAAUGCCAUAUAGUCAUAGAAUGGUGGAGCUGGAAGAGAAGUUGGAGAUUACCUAACCCAAUUCCUGAUUUUGUGAAUGAAGAUCCUGAGGUCCUGGAGUUCAUGAAGUAAAUUUUGAUAGAAGCAGGGACUCUGAUCUGCUACUUUCCAGUUCCGUGUUUUUUCCAUCACCUCAUUUAUUCCUCUUCUUUUCUUCUGGUCUUGCAUAUUGAAAUUCUACCUAUUCUUUAAGAUCUAAGAUACAUGGCACCUCUUCCGGGAUGUUCAACCAGCAGAGACCUAUCACUCAGUCUGUAACUUGCUGGGAUGUUUGUGAUCCUCAGCUCCCUUCUUAGAUUUUAAACAGGUUGCAGGAAAGAUGAAGGAAUUUAACUGACUUUACCAAGGUCACCAGCAAAACAGUGAUGAGAAACUUGAGAGUAAAUCCUUUCUGCUUCCAAAUAUUUUGAAAGUUGGCUCAAGAAAAAAAAAAAAAAAAGUAUGAUGAAAGAGCACUUCUGGGAAUGAAAAAGAUAAACCUUGUCUCUCAAUGCCUAGAGGUCUGUGCUAGUUCCAAAGAUAAAACUUUUAUUUUUGGCACAGAGCUCGAAUUAAUCUUCACUUU
This is a long non-coding RNA of Cynocephalus volans (Philippine flying lemur), 784 nucleotides long. RefSeq lists it as uncharacterized. The transcript has 3 exons. The record is from RefSeq and is a predicted model, not a curated record. NCBI's taxonomy places the organism in Eukaryota, Metazoa, Chordata, Mammalia, Dermoptera, Cynocephalidae.